RNAcentral lists this ribosomal RNA (276 nucleotides) under Triticum aestivum (bread wheat). RNAcentral's name for it is "partial small subunit ribosomal RNA". The record is from RNAcentral. Lineage: Eukaryota; Viridiplantae; Streptophyta; Magnoliopsida; Poales; Poaceae.
AUGGCCAAGGCUUGCGUACUCCGCGGUGCCACGCUGAUGGUGUGUGCGCUCUUGCUCCUCUCGUCCUCUUUCAUUGCGGCAGAGCCGGCUGGUCGACAAUGGGAUCAUGGGGGUGGCCGGCAAUGGGGAACAGUGGCGCCGACGAUGUUGACGAGAGGGCGUUUUGUAAGAAAGGUGCUGCGGGAGGAGAUGGUCCAGGCGGACGACGACGGUGUCGUCGACAUUGGCGGCUCUAAGAGGAAGAGUCCCGGUGGCCCAGACCCACAGCAUCAUUAA